AUUGAACGCUGGCGGCAGGCCUAACACAUGCAAGCCGAGCGGAUGAAGGGAGCUUGCUCCUGGAUUCAGCGGCGGACGGGUGAGUAAUGCCUAGGAAUCUGCCUGGUAGUGGGGGAUAACGUCCGGAAACGGGCGCUAAUACCGCAUACGUCCUGUGGGUGAAAGUGGGGGAUCUUCGGACCUCCCGCUAUCAGAUGAGCCUAGGGCGGAUUAGGUAGUUGGUGGGGUAAAGGCCUACCAAGGCGACGAUCCGUAACUGGUCUGAGAGGAUGAUCAGUCACACUGGAACUGAGACACGGUCCAGACUCCUACGGGAGGCAGCAGUGGGGAAUAUUGGACAAUGCGCGAAAGCCUGAUCCAGCCAUGCCGCGUGUGUGAAGAAGGUCUUCGGAUUGUAAAGCCCUUUAAGUUGGGAGGAAGGGCAGUAAGUUAAUACCUUGCUGUUUUGGCGUUACCAACAGAAUAAGCACCGGCUAACUUCGUG
RNAcentral lists this ribosomal RNA (484 nucleotides) under uncultured bacterium. RNAcentral's name for it is "partial 16S ribosomal RNA". It matches the Rfam family "Bacterial small subunit ribosomal RNA", at positions 30 to 507 of the family's 1533-position model. The record is from RNAcentral.